GCAAACUUGGUCAUUUAGAGGAAGUAAAAGUCGUAACAAGGUUUCCGUAGGUGAACCUGCGGAAGGAUCAUUGCCGAGCGUGCGCGCGUGUCGUGGGCAACCCCACGGCGCGCCGCAUUUCUCAACAACCCAUGUGAACUCUGUGAACGUGACUCGUGUGCGGCGCGCGCUCGCGCGCCCCACACACUUUUAACCAACGACGUUGACUGUGCUUCUCUGACUGAGACAAACUGUCCGGCGCUAACGCGACGCGACAUCAUAACCAACAUAUCACAACUUUUAACAACGGAUAUCUUGGCUCGCGCAUCGAUGAAGAACGCAGC
This 323-nucleotide unclassified non-coding RNA is filed under the name uncultured fungus. RNAcentral's name for it is "partial contains small subunit ribosomal RNA, internal transcribed spacer 1, and 5.8S ribosomal RNA". The stretch from base 1 to 73 matches the Rfam family "Eukaryotic small subunit ribosomal RNA", at positions 1759 to 1831 of the family's 1831-position model. Lineage: Eukaryota; Fungi. The record is from RNAcentral.